This 312-nucleotide ribosomal RNA is filed under the name uncultured eukaryote. RNAcentral describes it as "partial 18S ribosomal RNA". It matches the Rfam family "Eukaryotic small subunit ribosomal RNA", at positions 1470 to 1796 of the family's 1831-position model. The record is from RNAcentral.
CCCUUAGAUGUCCUGGGCCGCACGCGUGCUACACUGAUGCAUACAGCGAGCACUUCCCGGCCCCGAAAGGCGGCUGGUAAUCAGCAAUAUGCAUCGUGAUGGGGAUAGAUCUUUGGAAUUCUUGAUCUUGAACGAGGAAUGCCUAGUAGGCGCAGGUCAUUACCCUGCGUCGAUUAAGUCCCUGCCCUUUGUACACACCGCCCGUCGCUCCUACCAAUUUGAGUGAUCCGGUGAACCUUUUGGACCGAGACUGCUUGCAGACUUGGGAAAUCAAGUAAACCACGUCACUUAGAGGAAGGAGAAGUCGUAACA